Molecule: non-coding RNA, 93 nt
Organism: Stygiomarasmius scandens
Lineage: Eukaryota; Fungi; Basidiomycota; Agaricomycetes; Agaricales; Campanellaceae
Source: the annotation of a GenBank genome assembly
GCUUCCUUAGCUCAGUCGGUAGGGCGCGAAACCCACAUCUCUAUAUCCGCGUGGACAAUCUCGAGGUCGCAAGUUCAAGUCUUGCAGGGAGCA